Molecule: ribosomal RNA, 253 nt
Filed under: uncultured bacterium
Lineage: Bacteria
Description: partial 16S ribosomal RNA
Rfam family: Bacterial small subunit ribosomal RNA
Source: RNAcentral
UACGGAGGGUGCGAGCGUUGUUCGGAAUCACUGGGCGUAAAGCGCGUGUAGGCGGCCUUGUAAGUCUGAUGUGAAAGCCCGGGGCUUACCCCCGGAAGUGCAUUGGAUACUGCAAGGCUUGAGUACCGGAGAGGAAAGUGGAAUUCCUGGUGUAGCGGUGAAAUGCGUAGAUAUCAGGAGGAACACCGGUGGCGAAGGCGGCUACCUGGACGGGUACUGACGCUGAAGCGCGAAAGCUAGGGGAGCAAACAGG